AAGAGUGGCGAACGGGUGAGUAACACGUGGGAAACCUACCUCUUAGCAGGGGAUAACAUUUGGAAACAGAUGCUAAUACCGUAUAACAAUGACAACCGCAUGGUUGUUAUUUAAAAGAUGGUUCUGCUAUCACUAAGAGAUGGUCCCGCGGUGCAUUAGCUAGUUGGUAAGGUAAUGGCUUACCAAGGCGAUGAUGCAUAGCCGAGUUGAGAGACUGAUCGGCCACAAUGGGACUGAGACACGGCCCAUACUCCUACGGGAGGCAGCAGUAGGGAAUCUUCCACAAUGGGCGAAAGCCUGAUGGAGCAACGCCGCGUGUGUGAUGAAGGGUUUCGGCUCGUAAAACACUGUUGUAAGAGAAGAAUGACAUUGAGAGUAACUGUUCAAUGUGUGACGGUAUCUUACCAGAAAGGAACGGCUAAAUACGUGCCAGCAGCCGCGGUAAUACGUAUGUUCCAAGCGUUAUCCGGAUUUAUUGGGCGUAAAGCGAGCGCAGACGGUUAUUUAAGUCUGAAGUGAAAGCCCUCAGCUCAACUGAGGAAUUGCUUUGGAAACUGGAUGACUUGAGUGCAGUAGAGGAAAGUGGAACUCCAUGUGUAGCGGUGAAAUGCGUAGAUAUAUGGAAGAACACCAGUGGCGAAGGCGGCUUUCUGGACUGUAACUGACGUUGAGGCUCGAAUGUGUGGGUAGCAAACAGGUA
This 700-nucleotide ribosomal RNA is filed under the name Weissella confusa. RNAcentral describes it as "bacterial SSU rRNA". It matches the Rfam family "Bacterial small subunit ribosomal RNA", at positions 91 to 778 of the family's 1533-position model. The record is from RNAcentral. Lineage: Bacteria; Bacillati; Bacillota; Bacilli; Lactobacillales; Lactobacillaceae.